UGUAGGAUGCCAGAUUUGAUGGGUUGUAUUUAGGAUUCAAUUAUGAAUAUAAUGUUCUCCUAUAG
This 65-nucleotide transfer RNA is filed under the name Schistosoma mekongi. Its description in RNAcentral is "tRNA-Leu". The record is from RNAcentral. Lineage: Eukaryota; Metazoa; Platyhelminthes; Trematoda; Strigeidida; Schistosomatidae.